AUACAACGACACAAUAAAGCAAUGCCCGACAAAAUUGCAAUACCAGAUGAACGUUUUCGUCACAUUCACUUAGAUCUUAUCGGGCCGUUACCUGUCUGCAAAGGGUUUAGGUAUUGUCUUACUAUGAUAGACCGAUUUACGAGAUGGCCAGAAGCAAUCCCGAUUGCUGACAUUACAGCAGAGUCAGUAGCAAGAGCGUUUAUCGAGACAUAGGUAGCGCGAUUUGGAGUGCCUACGGUCAUCACUACGGACCAAGGAUCGCAAUUCGAAGCAGAACUGUUCAAAAAAUUGACCGAGCUAUUGGGGUGUUCGAGAACAAGGUCUUCACCAUAUCACCCUCAAUCAAACGGGUUGCGCACAGCUUAUAAAGAAGAUAUCAAAUGCUCGACGGCAGAAAUGCUGUAUGGUUCAACACUCAAACUGCCUGGAGAGUUUUUCGAGGACAAUCAUUUACGAGUUAAACCGGAAAUAUUCGUACAGGACCUAAGAGAGCGGAUGCGAAGAAUUCGCCCUAGAGAGGCAGCACAUCACGCAAAGAAUGUACCUU
RNAcentral lists this long non-coding RNA (547 nucleotides) under Polistes fuscatus (common paper wasp). RNAcentral describes it as "uncharacterized LOC122519069". Lineage: Eukaryota; Metazoa; Arthropoda; Insecta; Hymenoptera; Vespidae. The record is from RNAcentral.